AGAGAGCUACUUCAGGUUACUGUUAACACUAGUAUCCCCCAGCUGACAGAAGGCGGUGAUGCUGUCAGCAAGUUUAUGCAACAAAUAUUUUCUGGGUUUGAACCCAAAUCACAGCAUGAGAGUUGACCCUUUGGGAAGUCUGGAUGCAGGGGUCUAUGGAUAUCAUGGUUCCACCCCACAGCUGUGAUGCAUCCCAGCCACAAGGUGCCCUGAAGGGAAGCUCCCAGUGUGUUUUGUGUUUGACUGAGUUGGAACCACCAGCAGAUCUCAGAGUCAGCUCAGAGAUGCUCUCCCAGAUGAAAAGGAAUCAGCUUGAAAGCAUUUAGAAAUAGAGCUCCAUGAAAACCAAACUUGGAAGCGCCAGUGCUACUGCAAUAUGUAGUUUUGCCAGCAGAGGGCAGACACAACAUAUCUUCAAGCAAAAUAAGACAGUUCUGCCAGACCAAGUUUCAUUGACAAACAU
Long non-coding RNA from Mauremys mutica (yellowpond turtle), 463 nucleotides. RefSeq lists it as uncharacterized. The record is from RefSeq and is a predicted model, not a curated record. Lineage: Eukaryota; Metazoa; Chordata; Testudines; Geoemydidae. The transcript is spliced from 3 exons.